AUCCCUGAUAAGUGAGAACUCCUGGAAUGGAUUCUCGCUGAAAGGACGUUUAGACCAUGCUUCUAGGCGUCGCCCAAGGAGGGGGCCGCGACCGAUCAGGUUGUUGGUGAGGUAACGGCUCACCAAGCCUUUAACAGGUACGGGCCGUGAGAGCGGGAGCCCGGAGAUGGGCACUGAGACAAGGGCCCAGGCCCUACGGGGCGCAGCAGUCGCGAAAACUCCGCAAUACACGAAAGUGUGACGGGGUCAUCCCGAGUGCCAUCCGCUGAGGAUGGCUUUUCCCCAGUGUAUAAAGCUGGGGGAAUAAGGAGAGGGCAAGCCUGGUGUCAGCCGCCGCGGUAAUACCAGCUCUCCGAGUGGUGGGGAUGCUUAUUGGGCCUAAAGCAUUCGUAGCCUGCUUGGCAAGUCCUCCGUUAAAUCCAACGAUUCAAUCGUUGGGCUGCGGGGGAUACUGUCCGGCUAGGGGGCGGGAGAGGCCGACGGUAUCCUCGGGGUAGGGGUGAAAUCCUAUAAUCCCGGGAGGACCACCAGUGGCGAAGGCUGUCGGCUAGAACGCGCUCGACGGUGAGGGAUGAAAGCUGGGGGAGCGAACCGGAUUAGAUACCCGGGUAGUC
This 614-nucleotide ribosomal RNA is filed under the name uncultured archaeon. Its description in RNAcentral is "bacterial SSU rRNA". It matches the Rfam family "Archaeal small subunit ribosomal RNA", at positions 149 to 746 of the family's 1478-position model. The record is from RNAcentral.